Molecule: ribosomal RNA, 430 nt
Filed under: uncultured bacterium
Lineage: Bacteria
Description: partial 16S ribosomal RNA
Rfam family: Bacterial small subunit ribosomal RNA
Source: RNAcentral
ACGAACGCUGGCGGCAGGCCUAACACAUGCAAGUCGAGCGCCCUUUCGGGGGAGCGGCGGACGGGUGAGUAACGCGUGGGAAUAUGCCCUUCUCUACGGAAUAGCCUCGGGAAACUGAGAGUAAUACCGUAUACGCCCUGUGGGGGAAAGAUUUAUCGGGGAAGGAUUAGCCCGCGUUGGAUUAGGUAGUUGGUGGGGUAAUGGCCUACCAAGCCGACGAUCCAUAGCUGGUUUGAGAGGAUGAUCAGCCACACUGGGACUGAGACACGGCCCAGACUCCUACGGGAGGCAGCAGUGGGGAAUCUUAGACAAUGGGGGCAACCCUGAUCUAGCCAUGCCGCGUGAGUGAUGAAGGCCUUAGGGUUGUAAAGCUCUUUCAGCUGGGAAGAUAAUGACGGUACCAGCAGAAGAAGCCCCGGCUAACUCCGUG